CUCACUGUCAGGAGUGAAGCUGAUGAA
RNAcentral lists this non-coding RNA (27 nucleotides) under Mus musculus (house mouse). The record is from RNAcentral. Lineage: Eukaryota; Metazoa; Chordata; Mammalia; Rodentia; Muridae.